UUUUUAAUAUAAGUAUGUCCCAUGCAGUAUUUGGGAAAUACUUAUGCUAAUG
Molecule: microRNA precursor, 52 nt
Organism: Pan troglodytes (chimpanzee)
Lineage: Eukaryota; Metazoa; Chordata; Mammalia; Primates; Hominidae
Rfam family: mir-1302 microRNA precursor family
Source: Rfam